RNAcentral lists this ribosomal RNA (301 nucleotides) under uncultured bacterium. Its description in RNAcentral is "partial 16S ribosomal RNA". It matches the Rfam family "Bacterial small subunit ribosomal RNA", at positions 509 to 807 of the family's 1533-position model. The record is from RNAcentral.
CAGUAGCCGCGGGAAUACAGAGGGUGCAAGCGUUAAUCGGAAUUACUGGGCGUAAAGCGCGCGUAGGUGGUUUGUUAAGUUGGAUGUGAAAGCCCCGGGCUCAACCUGGGAACUGCAUCCAAAACUGGCAAGCUAGAGUACGGUAGAGGGUGGUGGAAUUUCCUGUGUAGCGGUGAAAUGCGUAGAUAUAGGAAGGAACACCAGUGGCGAAGGCGACCACCUGGACUGAUACUGACACUGAGGUGCGAAAGCGUGGGGAGCAAACAGGAUUAGAUACCCGCGUAGUCCCUGUCUCUUAUAC